GUACCCGCUGAACUUAAGCAUAUCAAUAAGCGGAGGAAAAGAAACCAACAGGGAUUGCCUCAGUAACGGCGAGUGAAGCGGCAAUAGCUCAAAUUUGAAAUCUGGCUCUUUCAGGGUCCGAGUUGUAAUUUGUAGAGGAUGUUUCGGCUUACGCCCCGGUCUAAGUUCCUUGGAACAGGACGUCACAGAGGGUGAGAAUCCCGUUUGUGGCCGGCGGCCUCCGCCAUGUGAAGCUCCUUCGACGAGUCGAGUUGUUUGGGAAUGCAGCUCUAAAUGGGAGGUAAAUUUCUUCUAAAGCUAAAUACCGGCCAGAGACCGAUAGCGCACAAGUAGAGUGAUCGAAAGAUGAAAAGCACUUUGGAAAGAGAGUUAAAAAGUACGUGAAAUUGUUG
This 392-nucleotide ribosomal RNA is filed under the name Acanthostigmina multiseptatum. Its description in RNAcentral is "eukaryotic LSU rRNA". It matches the Rfam family "Eukaryotic large subunit ribosomal RNA", at positions 22 to 410 of the family's 3401-position model. Lineage: Eukaryota; Fungi; Ascomycota; Dothideomycetes; Tubeufiales; Tubeufiaceae. The record is from RNAcentral.